This 917-nucleotide ribosomal RNA is filed under the name uncultured Gammaproteobacteria bacterium. RNAcentral's name for it is "bacterial SSU rRNA". It matches the Rfam family "Bacterial small subunit ribosomal RNA", at positions 8 to 918 of the family's 1533-position model. Lineage: Bacteria; Pseudomonadati; Pseudomonadota; Gammaproteobacteria. The record is from RNAcentral.
AGAGUUUGAUUAUUGCUCAGAUUGAACGCUGGCGGCGUGCCUAACACAUGCAAGUCGAGCGGUACAGGUGGUAGCAAUACAUGCUGACGAGCGGCGGACGGGUGAGUAACGCUUGGGAAUCUGCCUGUUAGUGGGGGACAACCCGGGGAAACUCGGGCUAAUACCGCAUACGCACUACGGUGGAAAGCCGGGGACCGCAAGGCCUGGCGCUAACAGAUGAGCCCAAGUCGGAUUAGCUAGUUGGUAGGGUAACGGCCUACCAAGGCGACGAUCCGUAACUGGUCUGAGAGGACGACCAGUCACACCGGAACUGAGACACGGUCCGGACUCCUACGGGAGGCAGCAGUGGGGAAUAUUGGACAAUGGGCGAAAGCCUGAUCCAGCGACGCCGCGUGGGUGAAGAAGGCCUGCGGGUUGUAAAGCCCUUUCGGUGGGGAAGAAAAGCCUCGAGCUAAUACCUCGGGGUCUUGACGUAACCCAUAGAAGAAGCACCGGCUAACUCUGUGCCAGCAGCCGCGGUAAUACAGAGGGUGCGAGCGUUAAUCGGAAUUACUGGGCGUAAAGCGCGCGUAGGCGGCUUUGCAAGUCGGGUGUGAAAUCCCCAGGCUUAACCUGGGAACUGCAUUCGAGACUGCAUUGCUAGAGUAUGGGAGAGGGAAGUGGAAUUUCCGGUGUAGCGGUGAAAUGCGUAGAUAUCGGAAGGAACAUCAGUGGCGAAAGCGACUUCCUGGACCAAUACUGACGCUCAUGUGCGAAAGCGUGGGGAGCAAACAGGAUUAGAUACCCUGGUAGUCCACGCCAUAAACGAUGAGAACUGGAUGUCGGGAGGGUCUGCCUCUCGGUGUCGUAGCUAACGCGUUAAGUUCUCCGCCUGGGGAGUACGGCCGCAAGGUUGAAACUCAAAUGAAUUGACGGGG